Molecule: ribosomal RNA, 456 nt
Filed under: uncultured Streptococcus sp.
Lineage: Bacteria; Bacillati; Bacillota; Bacilli; Lactobacillales; Streptococcaceae
Description: bacterial SSU rRNA
Rfam family: Bacterial small subunit ribosomal RNA
Source: RNAcentral
GCACAAGCGGUGGAGCAUGUGGUUAAUUCGAAGCAACGCGAAGAACCUUACCAGGUCUUGACAUCCCGAUGCUAUUUCUAGAGAUAGAAAGUUACUUCGGUACAUCGGUGACAGGUGGUGCAUGGUUGUCGUCAGCUCGUGUCGUGAGAUGUUGGGUUAAGUCCCGCAACGAGCGCAACCCCUAUUGUUAGUUGCCAUCAUUCAGUUGGGCACUCUAGCGAGACUGCCGGUAAUAAACCGGAGGAAGUGGGGAUGACGUCAAAUCAUCAUGCCCCUUAUGUUCUGGGUUACACACGUGCUACAAUGGCCGGUACAGACGGACGCAAAGCCGCGAGGUGGAGCAAAUCCUAAAAAGCCGGUCUCAGUUCGGAUUGCAGGCUGCAAUUCGCCUGCAUGAAGUCGGAAUCGCUAGUAAUCGUGGAUCAGAAUGUCACGGUGAAUACGUUCCCGGGUCUU